This 19982-nucleotide long non-coding RNA is filed under the name Pelobates cultripes (western spadefoot toad). The record is from RNAcentral. Lineage: Eukaryota; Metazoa; Chordata; Amphibia; Anura; Pelobatidae.
CUGGGAAGCUAAGCAAUGGUUUCGAGUGCCAAGAUCAUUAAAUAAAGAUCUAAGACAGCCACACAGGAAAUCGCAUUACUUCAUGGCGUGGAUGUUUCAAUGUUACCGAAAAGAGUGCUCCAAACGCAGGGUCUAUUGAUUCAGAGGUAAUGAGCCACAUGACGAGUGAUGAGAGAUUGUUCACAGAAAUUGACUUUCUUACCUUUGCCUUUUCUUUUUUCUCUCUUUAAUUCUCUAAUUCUGACUCUGUUAUAGUCUGCUGUUAUGUUAUCAAGUUAUUACUGCAUUCCCCCUGUACAUUUAAAUGCCCUGCAUUUAUAUGAAUCCUGCUGAAGUUUUUUUAGCAAGCUGAAAAGUUUGCAUCAUGUUUUAUAAAUCUUUGCUGAUGACACGUACAUGGUUAUUUACUCAUUCAAUGUGAAUUUCAAAUUUAAAGUUAAAAUAGCUAAAUUGGAAAAAUCAUCUUAGUCGGCUAUUCUUUCACGUCAGCAAGCCUGGCCUUAAAUUUGAAAUUCGCUUUGAAUUCUCACUUACGUAAAUAACCCAAACAGAGUUUCUAAUCCCAUAGACCAGGGGUAGGCAACCUUUUAGCAGCACUGUGCCGAUAUAGGAUUGUGAUGUCCCGUAGCGUGCCGGUCCUAUUUUUUUAAAAUUGAGGUGUGUAGGUUGCCGUAUUCUGCUUGUGUUAUUUUUACUGUAAUUGCUUUGUAUCGUUGUAUUUGUGCGUAUAUGAGCUAUUAUAUUGUAUAUGUUCAUGUUCGUGUAUGAUACAUAUGAAUGUGGGCUGUGUAUGGGGGCUGCUUGUGGAAUUGUGUGUGUGGAUGGAUAUGUCACAUUGUGUGCUUGGUAGUGUGUGAGACUGCACAUGGGGUUGUGUGCAUGUAUGUGGAUUGUUAGCGGGUUACAUUUGUGCGGAUUGUAUGUAUGUUUGUUUGUGGGCUGUUCGUAUUAUUUGUAUGAGGGGAGGGUUUUUGUGCAUUUCUGUGUAAAUCUAGCACAGGCUUUCCUGGGUUCCAGUGGGGACCAGGCUGGCCAGGUACAGGUCAAGGACAGGAGCUAAAACAGCAGCUGCAGGCUGCUCUACUCCUGUGUGUAUUCCCAUUCACAAGUGCUGGAAUGAAGUGCUCUGAGUUCACUUCCUCUACGUUCUGCAAUGCAUAAAUUGAGGAUUGUUCUUCACCACCUUUUCGUAUUAGCAGAUAUCUGAAGAUUCACUGGGACUCCUGAUUUGGAGUCCCAGUGAAGUGCCUUGAGUGCCGUGCGUGACACUAGUGCCGUAGGUUGCCUACCCCUGAUCUAGACUGAUAUUUAGGCUAUUUCACUUUCUUAGUAUAUGCUUUUACACUCAUAAUCGUUUUUUGUUUCCUGUACUUUUAGACUCUGUUACAUUAUUUUUGCUAAUUAAUCUUUGUACGAUGUUCGUUUAUUUUAUUAGUUCCUUGAGUCUUAUUUGAAUAAAUAAAGUUGCAGACCUCUGCAGUUUUCUCUUAUUACAAUGUUCUUCUACUAUUUCAUUUCUUUACUCUUGUUCAGAAUUUUCCCUUAUACUAGUUUUUAUGCAAAGAUCAUUUCUUCUACUGAGAAUAUGUCUCCUUUCACCAAUCACUGGCCAUUACAUCUUUUAAUGAAUGUCUUUCUCAGCUGGCUAAAUAUUGUAUAUAUGCCAUGUGUACAUACAUACAUACAGAAAAAUGUGAACUCCGUUUAAUCCAAUUGGUUUUAGGGAUCAUCUUUAUACAUACAUGCAUAAUUUCUAACUUCGGCAGCCAGAAAAGCCGGAGCGGGGUAAAUGUGGUGGCACAGUGAUGUGAUUGCAUUACUGGUUCUACCCUAAAGGGUGCAGGUCCACCUGAAUUACUGGCUGUCAUCAUUAAGUUUAUUCCUCCACAUUUACCGAUAUGCCUAAAGAGAUCUUAGGAUGUUAGAGACACCGUAUUGGCAUAUCUGUAAUAGGAACUGCCAUGUCAUACUGUGCAGUACAAUUUUUACUGCUCAGAGCGAUAUCUUACUGUGAAAUAUAGGACUCAGAAACAUCCUCUGUCUCUUUAAACAACAGUCAAAGAAACAAUCCUUAAUUUUACUUUUACCGAACAUUUUUUUUUUUUACCAUUUAUUUUCUCAGAAAAAGAUUAAACCAAAUGCAUUAUAAUAUUAUCAAUUUCAUAAGAUUAUAAAAAAUGUAAUGCUACCUACAGUUGGUAUAAUCGCAGCCGAUUAUGAUCUUCCUAAUGAUAUAAGGUAAGAAAGGAAAAAUUCAUAGAAUGUCGAAAACAAGAAUUCAGCAGAAAGGAUUUUUUGUACCUCUACCCAGUUGUUUUACUAAGUCUCCUGAACAUAGCUAUAUUAUAAAUUCUCCGCAAAUAAAAAAAAGUGAUAUUCAAUGUGUCACAAUAGAUUUAGGCAAUGAAAAAAAAAUUGCAUUCGCACCAAAAUCACAGCUCUAAAAUGAAUUAUGAUCCAAUAAAGUUGAAACUAAAAUGUUGAAAACAAUACAGUGACAUUAAGUGGAGACCGGAUGAACAAAGUGCUAGCUGCGGUGAAAAAUUAUGCUUUGAAAAUCAGUUAUGCUCAUCUAUAAAAAGAGCUAUGUUUACUCACAUUUUACAUCACAACAAGCAGACAGAUUUGUGCGUUUGCUUAUAAGAAAGUAGAGCAUCUUUGGGGUUUAUUCACUAAAGCUGAUUUGGAAAUUUAAGGUUAGAAUAACUGAUUUGUUAAAACAAAAAUCUUCAAUCAGUUAUUGUCACAUUUAAGUUAGUUUUGUGCUACAUUUUGUAGUUCUGUUUAAUGAAUAAUCCAUUAUAUCUUUAGCUACUUUUUCAUGUAGAAAGUGUUUUAACACAAAUGUUGUAAACAGAGGUGUAACUAGAAACCACAGGACCCCGGUGCGAAAAUUGCCCUGGGGCCCCCCCAUACAUCUACCUCCCACCCUAUACGUCUAUGCCCCCCCCCACACACACACACAUACACAUGCAGACACUUACACAUACACACAGAGACCCAUACAUACAGACACACAUAUAUACACACACACAGAGACAUGUAGAGACACACAUACAUACAGACACCGACAUACAUACACACAUACAUACAGGCACACACAUGCACUAACAGAAACACACAUUCACUCAUAUACACACACUCAGACAUAUACACACGUACACUCACAGACACAUACACACAGACACACUCACAGACACACUCACAUACACACACAUAUACGUACACACACUCACAGACACACACACACAUACACUUACAGACACACACAAAUUAUUAACAUUAAAUGUCCAUUAAAAUGUCCACCCAGCCUCCCUACCUGGAGAGGUGGCAUGGAUCUGUCCCUGGGGUCCAGUGGGGCUUCAGUGCGGCGGGCGGCUGAGUUCCUGUCAGAGGCGGCGAGGGAGCUGUGUUCUCUCUUAUCUGCUCCCUCGCGGGCUGUCUACUGAUGCAGGGAGCCAGAAUAUGAUGUCAUAUUCCGGCUCCUGGCAUCAGCAAAUGGUGCACAAGGAAGCAGAUUAGAGAGAACACAGCUCCCUCGCUGCCUCUGGCAGGGAGGAAAUUGACCCCCAGGCCGCCCUAAAUUCUUUUAAAACCAGUCGCUACAGGGCCGGUCCUAAUGCUGCAGCCACCUUAGCGCUCUGUUAAGAGCCUCAGGCGGCUGCAGCUGCUUCUCUCCUCCCCUCCUCUGUAGCGUUGGCGAGCUCCUCUACGGUCCGCGGUGCCCGGCCGGAGUGAUAGGAAGGUGCACACUCAGUGUGCACUUCCUGUCAGUCCGGCCGAUUACAGGAAACAAACAGAAAGAAGAAGGGGUGGGGUAAGAAGAAGGGGUGGGGUAAGAACAAGAGGGAGGGUAAGAACAAGAGGGGGGUAAGAACAAGAGGGGGGUAAGAAGUAGAAGGGGUAAGAAGAAGAAGGGGUGAAGUAAGAAGCAGAAGGAGCGGUAAGAAGAACAGGUGGGGGGAGUAAGAAGAACAGGUGGUGGGAGUAAGAAGAACAAGGAGGGGUAAGAAAAAUGGGGUAAGAAGAACAAGGGCAAAGAACGGGGUAAGAAGAACGGGGGUAAGAAGAACAAGGGGAAGUAAGAAGAACAAGGAAGAAGAACACAGGAGGAGGGGGGCAGAGUAAGGGUGAGGAGAAGGGGAGAUGAGGAGAACGGGGGGGACUGAGAAGAACACAGGGAGGGUUGAUGGUGAGGAGAACACAGGGAGAAGAGGGGGUAAGAAGAACACAGGGAUGGGGGUGAGGAGAAGGGGAGAUGAGAACACAGGGAGGGGGAGGUGAGAAGAACACAGGUGGGGGGAGGUGAGAAGAACACCGGGGGUGAGUGAGAAGAACACAGGGAGGGUGGAGGGGGGGAUGAGAAGAGCCCAGGGAGGGUGGGUGAGUGUGAGAAGAGACCGCUAAGGAAAGGGUGGGGCAGAGCUCUAAGGGACAGAACGGACAGCUCUAUAGGACAGGGGGCAAGGCAGGGAGCUCUUUCACACUACGCGCACAUACACACACAAUACAUCCCUAUACAUACACAGAAACACACAAUGCAUCCCUACACACACAGAAACACAACAUGCUUCCCUUACACACAGAGAAAUCGACAAUGCAUCCAUUACACACACACACACACAAUGCAACCCUUACACACAAAGACAAUGCAUCCUUUGCACACAUACACAGAAACACACAAUGCAAACCCUUACACACACAUGCAAACACACACACUGCUUUUCUUACAUACACACAGAAACACAAUGCAUCUCUUACACACACUCAAUGCACGCACAUACAGACACACACCUUGCAUCCCUUAUGCAUACAAACACAGAUUCACACAAUGCAUCCCUUAAACACAACCAGAAACACACAAUACAAUACACACUGCUUCCACUACACACAAACACACUGCAUCACAUACACAAACUGGUAUCCCUAUACACUACAUACCAUAAGCACACAUAUUAUAUCCUCUACAAUAACACAAAACACAUCCCCUACACACUCCACUCCCUGUGAGCAAACACAUCGGUGGGUGGAACAUAUAGGGGGACUCAUGAGUGGGCCUUAUGGGCAUACUCACCAUCAGGCCCUGGGGCUCAGACCUUGAGGUGUGUAAGGGGCCCCAAAAAAAUGGAGCUGCUUCCAAUUCUCCCAGAACAUUGAAUUUUGUGACCACAGUUGCAAACAGCCUCCAGAGAUCCUGUUCUACACCAGACCAGUGGAGCCAAACUGCAGCCCAUCAUCAUCCUCAUCUGGUUGUAAGUAGGCAAUCUAGUAUAUUAUUAGUGACACUGAUCUAUAAUUUACCUCACAUUAAAGGGACACUAUAGUCCCCAGAACCACUUCAGCUUAAUGAAGUGGUUCUGGUGUCUAUAGCCGGUCCCUGCAGGCUUUUUAAUGUAAACACACACUGUGUGCAGCACUGGCGUUAGUUCAUAUGGCAGAUCAUAUGGGUGGGGCAUUGUGAUGUCACAUGGGGGGCGACAAAUUUUUCUUUUGCCUAGGGCGGCAAAAGUCCUUGCACCGGCUCUGAUCCUGGGCAGGUGCACAAGUCUACUGGUGACCCACAGGAGGGGAGUGCACUGAUUGCACUGCACUCUCCUCCUGCCCAGACCCGUCUUUACCGCAGUGCAAGUGCCCUCUGCCCCUAAUUUACAGUGGCUCACACUCACAGCAAGCAGUGCCUGGAGCCCUUUGCAGAGACGGGAACAAAGAUUUUCUGCAGCAGCUGGCCGUCCUGCAAGCAUUACAUUAACCAGCUGUUCUCCAUGCAGCCACAGGUGCCGCUGUGCUGGGAGAUUGUGAUUACUCUUCACUUCCUCCCAGCCUACAGAGCAGCGCAUUGGGGGAGAGAGAGGAGGAGGCAUGAUUUAAUCUUACAACAAAUCCAGUAAGCACAUCUUUAUAAAUUUGGGGGGAUCAGCUUUGUUUGCACAGUUUAUUGGUGUUUACUCUGAUGUCUGUAUUAAUAUUGAGGGAUGUCUAAGUAGUAACAUCAGUGUGUGUCAACAGAGCCAGCCGUUUGGGUGUGCAAGCUGUGCGGUCACGCAGGGUGCCAUGACAACAGAGGCGCCCGGCGGCCAACACAGCUCACAAGUUGGAGACACCAGCAUAUUCAAUUUAAACGAUUCGCUGGUGGUCCACUGGUGCGCACCAGCAGUAGUUGCAGUCAGAUUAUAUCCUCUCCCUUGUGGUUCCGGCGCUCAGUUAGUGAGUCAGAGCACAGGCUCAGAGAUUCUCAGCCUGCGCUCUGACAACAUUGAAAGUCAGAGCCGUGAAGGAGCGGGUAUUAGCAUAACAUCAAUAUCCGUUCUAAAACCAGGAAAAGGUGGGCAUGGAUGGUGAACUGAUUUGGUAGUGCAAUGGGCCACUUGACUGGUUUUGCCCCCCAGGCCUAAGGCUGCCAGCCCUCCCCUGCCAGCAGACUACCUCUUGGGCCCCCCAUGACAGGAGGAACAUGGGGGCAGUAUCUAGGCGGCCCAUGGUCACAGGGGUCGUGGCUGCGGUCGGGCCCCCUGCAGUGAGGGGCCCGGUCGCAGCUGUGACCCCGGCAACCGUGGUAGGUACGACACUGGUUGUAAACAGAUAUUUUAUAGCAUUAAUAAAUAUAUUCCCUGCCUUGUUAUUCUGUUUUAGAUCGUCCUUUAAGUUUGAUAUAUUAUCUUCAUUGGAUCCUCUAAGUCGGAAGGUGAUGAUACUAUGAUUUUUGUCUGUUUCUCUACUGUGAAACCCCAAAUUCUUACAUUCUACUUCUAUUAGUUUGUACUUUAUAAUUAUAUAGCGUACUAUGGUAUUAAGCUGCAUGCUGACAUUACAGAUUCUGUCAUGCAUUAGGGAGUUAUUCUGCAUGCUUGCAUUACAACUGAUUAUGUGCAUUAGGGAGUUGUAUUCUGCAAACUGCGCAAUACAAAGUUACCACGCAUUCUACUGCCACAACAGAUAUUGCUUAUUACAGCGUGAUGACACCUCAUGAGAUUAUUCCUUACUGUCCACAUUACGGAUUUAUGUUUGUUUUUUCAACGUAUAAAAUAUGGAAUUAUAAAGCUUGUUUGCAUUGAAACAAAUAUUUUCACACUAAAUAAUGCCUUAGUUGACAUGGCAUUGAAAAAAAAAAAAACCUAGUGUGUCUUAGGAAAACUAGCUGCAUGUAUUUUAGCACAUUUUAUAAUUGUGUUAGAAAAGAGAUCCAUGAUUGAACUGUUCAAUUGGGGACUAUUGCAAGAGGUUGCCAUAUUAAAGGCAAAUUCAACCAAUCCCAGAGAUGUUUAUCAGUCUUAAGAAAACCCACAUCUGGUUAGAGGUUUCCGAUUGGCUAUGAUGAUGCAAUGCAGCUUAAAAGAAAAUGAUCACCAAAUGUGUUUCAAGUACUUCUAAGAGCGGUUCCAUGAUCCAGCAGUCUUUUAUAAAAUAAGCUAUAUUUCCUCAUUAAUCCUUGAGAUCAGCCAUUAUCUGCCCCAGAGCAUUCUGGAAUUCUUUCAGAUUAUCCCUCUUUUGUUUUAUUCUCUCAGAAGCAUCGUUAAAUCUUAAACCCAGGUAAUUUUGUUGCUACACUUUAAACACAAAAUUCAUCCUCAAAGUAACUUUUCACGAGCCCAAAAAAGAAUAGGAAGGCAGUGUAUUUAUUGGGUUAAAGGGACACUGUAAAAACUGUAUUCCUAGACCCUAUUCUCGAAAGUGAUUCUCCGCUCCCCCACCCCCGUGUUUAGACAAUUACCUCUUUUCUCUGUGCUGGCUCCAUCUUCACCUCCUCCAACAUCCGCAAUCGAAGGGAACCUAGUGCGUAUGAGUGGCGAGUGCCGCUCAUGCAUCAGGCCUUCCUCUUAGGAAUGCAUUGAUUCAAUGCUUUCCUAUGGAGGAGUUCAAGACUCUGGACAUAAUCAUGCAAAGACAGCAUGGUGAAGUAGUUCUCGUGAGAUUAAGUUGUCUGGUUGCCUAUAAUGUCCCUUGGUCAAAAACAAACUAACACAAAAAAAAAAUGUCCAAUGCUAUUUAAUAUAACAAUAAUAAUUGGAGCUUUUUUUCACAAGGACUUUAAAAAUGUACGUGUUGAUUGAACUAGUUGGUGCAUGUUUAAAAAUAUUCUUAGUAUCAUUUAUUUAUUUAUAUAUUGCCAAAAAAUGUGUAGCUACAGACAUUAAGUGAAAAAAUCAGUUGGAAAACUAGGUAGAAUUUCAUGACUGAAAAUAUAUUCUUUAGGGACUUUUUCAUGGCUUUGUUAAAUUAGCCCAGAGUUUGUGUGUAACCCAUAUUUUGUUUGGAAAAAAGUAUUUUAUUAAGUGCAAGUUUACUUAUUCUCAUCCUUUACCUGGAUAAAAUGUUCUACUCCCGUUCCAGCAGGAACAGCUCCUGGAAUAGGGGAUUACUAAAAUAAUGCUAGCAAGAGGUAGAUAUGGCAGUGUUAGUGACUUUUUACAAUUUUACUUCAAUUUGAACUGUAUGCAAGAAAGAAAGGGAUAUUUACUGAAGACGGAAUUGUUGGUAUUUCAAAGUAAAUUUAAAUUUUAUCUGAAAUUUUAGGCCAGAUAGCCAAACUGAGUACAUAGCUUACUUGGAGAUUUGUUCCCCAUUUCAGCAAUUUGGUUGUAAGCAUUUGAAUCCAAUUUGAAUUCUUGAUGAUUCACACUUUAUUGAGUAGCCCUGUGUAAGUGGCCAUAGUAUUUGUAUUAUUAGAAUAGUUGUACAGCGCUACAGAAUGUGAUGGCGCUAUAUAUAUAUAUAAUAAAACAAUAAUAAUAAUAAUAAUACCAGAGUUUACAUUUACAUUAAUUGGUACCUAAGAGAUAACUUGAUGCUGUGGCACAAAUAUUCUCAUUAUUGCAAUGACUACACUUGCUCGCCGCUUCCUACUUUUUUCUCUAGAAAUUUUCAUAGAUACUGUCCACCUCGACAAAUGACACCAAUCUUCCUUCUGUAGUGAUAUACUCCUAAUCUAGCAGACACAGCUCUAAUUUUGGCCACCCAGUGGUGCCAGAACUCUCAACGCCCAGCCAAAGGAAGAUCAAGGGACCAGAUCUGAUUGGCUGGAACUCCUCACUAAAUCGGAGAGCAGCCCCGGCCUGGCAACACGUCAGCCCGGCAGCGAUGGGACAUAAUACGUAAUAUAUAGUGCAGGGCACUUUUUGAGCUGGAGACAGCUGGUGGAAUGAUGUUUCUGAAGACACAAUGGUUGUAGCACCUUGUCUGGAGAGGAUUCAGCGGGGGAUUGACCCUUACCAGCACAUACAGAGUGGCACCAAGGAGGGAACUUUUUUCCGUUAAUCACCCCCUGGAGGGUGAAUACACAUUUGAUACUGUGUAAAUACUGUUAUUGUGUUCCUAUAAAGUAUAUUUGUUUCACCGUUCAUCAAGUCUCAACUGAAGUCUGAGUUAGCUGCUAUAGAGAUGCUCUAAUCAAGCAAAGACAAGUGGAGAUAUUAAGACUGAGUACCCAGCUCAGCUACAAAUACUUAAACAGACACACCAUAGAGGAACUAAUAUGUGGAAAAAGUAAAAAAUAUACCCUCCUUUGAAGUUCAUGCAUGUGCUGCAAAUCCCCAAGGAUUCAACGUCUUCCAGUAAGCUAUGAUUAGCCGAUACCCUUUGAUUUAUCCAAGUCUUAAAGGAACUCUCUUCACUGGAAACAACUUAUCGUAAUGAAGUGGUAUUGAUUGGUGGAGUUCCUAGGUACCAUCAUCUUUUUUGAACAAUUUGACACCAAAGUUGAGUCCUGGGUGGCCACCUGCAUUGUCUACCCUCUCCUCUGCUCAACUGCCAUAAUGAGCAGAGAUUGUUGCUGUAGGAAACGUGAUAGGCUGAGAGCAUAAAGUGAUAUUUUCAUGCUAUAAUUGACCAUCCAUUGAAGGUAACAGUACAUAUUGGGUUCCUGGAGAAAAUAUUUGAUAAUGGGGCUUUGACAGAGGCUUUUUUUCUAUCAAGAAGCUUGAAAAAUAGUUUAAACAAAAACACAGGGCGCCCAAAGAUGUCUUGUACCAUAACUAAUGUUGGCCUUAAUAAGCUUUUCAAAUAAUUUUAUAUUUUUGGAUAGACUUAAAAUGUUUUAAUAUAUAUAUGUUUUUAUAUGUAAUAUAUUUUUUAGUUUUAAAUAUUUAAAAAAUAUAUAUUUUAAAAAUGUAUCCAAAAAUAUUAAAUCAUUAGAAAAGAUUAUCCCAAAAAAUUUAAUCGAGGUCAUAAUAUACUAAAAGGAUCAUGGUUCUUAGCGUGUUCCUUUAAGUUCUAUGGGGAGUCACAAAGGAGAGUUUUAAUAGAAAAUGAGUUCUUCAUCGUUAAAUGAUUAAGAACCUGGACAUGUUGUGUAGCAAAGCUACUGAGAGAUGCUGCAUGGUAAAAAUAAAUCAGAGUUUGUCUACACUUGCUGCAAGGCCAAGUUGCACCUGUCCGUGGCUCUACAAUUGCCAAACAGAUGGCAGAAAACACUAGGUGUGACCCCAUUUUUAAAUUGAAAUUUGCAUGAUAGUUAAAAUGUUACAUUGUCUAGAGAACUUCACUCUGUGUGAACCAAUCACUUUCCCAAUUGUAGGAUUGAUAGAACAAGUUAUUGCUUUCAUUCAUAGCUCAAAUGUCACUAAAUGAAAUUAUUUCAUGGAUUGAUUAAAUUAUCGAUAAAAUCACCUUAAUGUAAAAAACUAAGAUCAACAGAGCAUAUGGAUGACUAGCUUGGCAAAUUAAAUAUUCAUCCUAAAGACAGAUAAUCUAAAACAAUUAGAAUUAUAAUAAUUGCAUACAAACUAAAACCGACUAGACCUUUUUUAAGAUGCAAAUAGUAACAUAGACAUUUUAUUAUUACUUUUGAGAAAAUAUAACAUUUUUCAGAAACUAUAGGACUCGUAAAUUGCAAAAAAUCGAAUUUGUCCAAAAAUAUUUUUUUAAUUAGUACGGUAACAAAAGGCUUUCAGUUUAUAAAUUACCUUCAUAGUGGCAACUUUUAUGGGUGUGGGUGGUGUUAAGAGGCAUUACUUUUAUCUGUAUUUUCAGUCUAGUGUAGACAAAUAGUGAUUUUUAACCCCUCUUACCCCCUGAAGCAAAUCAUGUGCAUGCCUCAGAAUGGUGGGGUUCGUAACAGCUACUAUAUAUGGUGAAACUCUACAGACAGCAGAAAUCCAUGAUCCCAUCUAUACACCACCUCUUUAAUACAAUAAUAAUUAUAGAAAUAUCAGUAACAUGGGCACAUUAUAGUUUUAUAUUCGAAUAAAAGGGGCUCUAACCGAGACUAAUUUUAAAUAUAUCCUGGUGAAAGAUUAUUUUUCGUCGUCAUCAUUGUAUAUAUACAGUAAAACAAGUGUUUUUUUGUUUUUUUCUGGAGGGAAAUCACAGCAUGUGACUCCUGACAGCCAUCAGAUUUAAUUAAAAUGAGACUGAAAGAAACAUCUUGAAAUGCCCAUUGUUGGUCAAGGAUUCUAGAUCCAAAUCCUGCAGGUAUUGUCCAUAUUGGAAGGAGGAGUAAUGUAUCAGUUGAAAUAACAAGGAGAGAUACAUACUGCCACAUCUCUAUGCCCAAAUACUUACUAUGGAGAGAGGGGCACUAGGAGAGAACUUUGACUGGGCUUCAGCUGGGCUCAGUGGCACAGAGAGCAUGCUGGGAAUGUCAACCAGUUUAGGCAACUGUGACUGAAAGAAACUGAGUCCCUGCUUAUCUAUUUCUCUAGGGGACAUUAACGGCAGUGACAUGGUGAUGGGAAACAAACAUGUGGGUGGAUGUACUACAUCUGUAUCUACUGUCUUUCCCUGAAAAUAAGAUAGGGUCUUAUAUUAAUUUUUUCCCCUCGAAACACGCACUAGGGCCUAUUUUCGGGGGAUGUCUAAUUUUGGGGGAAAAUGGUAGCAAACAUGUGCUAGAAAGCAGGUCUACAUUUAGGGGAAUUAUCCUGAACAUAGAUAAUUUCACUAGGGCAUGGAAUCCAGCGAAUCUAUGUUUGGGGAAACUUUCCCAAACAUAGAUCAUCUUACUCGCUAAUGGAAUCCAGCCAAUCUAUAAAAUUCCCAGAACAUAGAUUAGAGAACUAGCAACUAGACACUAGGGCUUAUUUUUGAGGGAUGUCUUAUUUUCAGGGAAACAGAGUAUGUUAUCACUAUGUACUCACUGUGUGCCCACUAUGGACAGAGGCUGCAGACUGUUUCCUCAAUAUGUGUAUGAUGCGCAGUGUUUGUGUCCUGCUCUCCACUUGCCUAAAGGGAAUAAUAUCCCCAUAUAUAAGAAGUAAACCUUGGAAGAGGACCUUAAUUAACUGAUGUUGUUGCAGUUCAUAAGAUUCUAAAAUGGGUAGCCUCUCAAAAACAACCUAACCUGAUAAAUAACCAGCACCUUGGAGUCAGAAAACAUACUGAAAAUUUCAGUGAGUGCACUACGGGUAUAUAAUAAAUAGUGAAUUAUUAUAGCAGAGUCUCCUUCUAAAAAUUGUGAAGCAUCAUUUGUUUUAUAUUUACUAUUAGCUUACAGAUUAAGUGAUGCAAACUUUUGAUAUAAGGAUGCGUAGAAAUGUACAGGAUGCAUGUUUUAUGGAAACCGAAGGUAAUCAGCAUUCUGCAGACAUUUAGAAUUGCAUCCAACAGUGUGCAGGCAUCGUGUCACUGUGUUUUUUAUUAAAAAUCCAGACUGUUAAACAUACUCAGCCUAGACAGACAUUAAUCAGACAGUAUAUCCCAGCAGUGAUCUUUAGCCUGGUGAAAUUCUGUCUAAAAAGGAAGCAUUACGGAAUCUUGCAUGCUGUACAGACGAAAAGAAUGUAAUGAAGUUUGUGCUGUAGACAGAUUGCGAUACAAUGUGAAAGAUCAAGGUUAUUUGUGCAUUUGAAAUAAUUAAAAUAACUGGAGUUUUAUCUAACUUCUUCCUUCUAGAGAUUAUCAAUAUUAUUAUGUAUGUAUGUGUAUAUUUAUGUGUGUAUAUAUACACAUACAUAUGGAACCAGGAAGGUUGCGCUCGUCUAAGCUCGCAUACAUUAUAAGGGUAUUGCUCAGACCAAUUGAUAAAUCACACAGAAUCCAUCACUGUGGCAAAACUAGGGGGGAUGCUGUGGGUGCAAGUGGCAAUGGUGCUACAUCAAGAGGUGUGCCACCACCAGAGACGAAUGCCCAUAAUAUCUAGAUCUCUGAUUGUCCCCCCCUCCUUGAAAUGGCAGGGAGAUCAAACGAGCUCCCUAUCGGCUCUUUAGAAGUUGACUCCCUUGUGGUCUGCGAUGCAGUCACACUACUUCUCAGUUCCAACACUCUGUGAGAGAGUCAGAGGGCGGGUGAGGGUUUCCCAUCUUGUGCUCUGAUGUUGUCAAAGAGCACUAUACCAGGAGGAUUGCAGCUGCACCAGCAUCCCACUGGAACACCAAAAAAAAAUUAAAAAUAAAUCUAUCCAUACCUUUAGUAUAGGACAGGAUUCUUUGGCCGUAUAGUCAGUCUCCAUGAUCUUCACUGCUUGAGACAGGCAUCAUCUGUGCUCAUUUGCAUUUAAAGCAGGGGACUCUGGGAUAGUUACGGAAACAUGAUUUAUUGAGUUUCUAUGCCCACUAGUGACUUCUAUAAAUCCAACUUAUACAGGAUAUAAACAAUUUAUAUAUUAAAUCCAGUGUUUAGUGAAUAAAUACCACACUGCUGUAUAGCAAUAAAUGUUUUAGCUACAAAUGAAAAGAACACUGUCAUAAAUUUGCAUUAUUAUUAAACAUACGACAACUAAUUAAGUAACAAUGUGAAAUGUCAGCAACCAGUUGCUGGGGUCAGCAAGGUAUUGUCAUAAAUAAAAAGUGGUAUUAAUUAAUGGGAUGUAAAUAUAAUCUAACCGCUUCACAUUGAAUAUGCAGUGCUAUUUUUCUCAGUUGUUUAAAAAAAAAAAAAAAAAGAUAUGGAAUUAAAAAACAUGCAAAGGCGGGCUAGGCAAUUCAAAAAAGGAAUGUAAGAUUUGCCAUGAAGAUAUGCUAGAAAAAUAACUUGGUUUCUUUAAGUAACAAACAACAAUCUCAUAGGGGAUAUGUUAGCAUUACACAAAUAUAUACGGAGACAGUCUAAACAGCUCUCUGUUACUUAUUCACUAACGGAACUGUACGAAGGAAGAGAGGUCACCUAUUUUUGAAGAAAGGACAAGAGUUAUUUUCAGCCUAUAAUUACUACAUAAAUAUGUCCUUUUAACCAGCAUAAAAUAAUUAAUAUAUUAUAUUUUGUAACGUAUACACAUAAGUAAAUAAACCCCUCUUUUUCAUUGGCUCUCACGGCCCACCUUUACUCUAGGAGAUUUUCAGACCUUCAAGUUGUGCAUUGUCAGAGUACAAAAGUGCUUCCUGCUAAAGUGAUAUAAAGAUGGCUGCCCCGUUUAGCAAAAACUUGCAUUUAAAAGCUAUUAAAUAAAGCGUAUUCAUUACAAAAUAAUGCACAACUAGGCUAUAUUACUAGGCUAUAUUACAUGUAACUUUUUAUUUUCAAUAAACAUUGAUGACGGUUAACAUUAUAGAAAAAACAGAAGAAAUUAUAAACUGCGCCUAAAGUAAUAUUAACACUUGAGUGUAAUUAAAAAAAAAAAAAAUAUAUAUAUAUAUGUAUCAGAGGGGGCCUUCUUUUAUACAUACUUUAGGAGCGAUUUAUCAUUUUUAUUUUUUUAUUUUUUUUAUAUUGUUUGUCACAAGGUUGGGGAGUCCUUGUAAGAAUCACUGCUUCCUCAUUUCAUUAAUAGUGAGCACCUAAUCCUCUUCUAGUUAUCUAUUAUCCUAAACAUGUGUUAUUGGAUUGAGUUCUGGGUUUUUUGGAAGACACCAGAGUAAACGGAGGUCACUGUUAUGUUCAUAAAACUUGCUUAAAAUGAUGCAUUGUUAAAAGUUGCCUGAUAUAUCUCGGGAAGCAUUUAUUUAAAAAUGUGUAGGAGCACAUGGCCAGCAGCAAUGCUUGAAGGAACACUCCAGAUCUCUAAAGCACUUUAGCUUGCUGAAAAGCCUUAUAUGUGAAGAGUGUGUCCUCUUUCUUUCAUUUUGCAAAAAGUGUAGAUUUCAAUAGAAAUUGACACUUUUAUAAAUGAACCUGGUUUUUCACCCCCUUGGUUUUCAGUCUGACAGCAGUUCUUGUUACUUCCUGGUUUGGAUCGCUCAGAACAUCUGCCUUACAAACACUUCUCUACUGUGAUUGGACAGCCACAGAAAGUCUGGGCAGGAUUAGAAGGGGAGGACAUGCAAAGACAGUAAACAAGAGAACUGCAGUUAUUGCAAGCCAGUGGCGUCGCUAGGUGGGGGCCAGAGGGGGCCAUGGCCCCCCCUACAUCAUGCUGUGCCCUCCCUUGGGCCCCCCCAAAUGCCGGUAACUUGCUGGCCAUGUGUUUCAAUUAUAUUCCCUCGGACUGUAAAAAUCUGUGACAGCCCGAGGUAAUGCAGUGCUGGGGGCUGUCUGUGGCUCGAGGGAGCACUGACAGGCUCCCCGGCACAGGCCCUGCCCCCAAAUAAGUAAUUGAUAGCUGUGCUGCAAAAUGUCCUUGGAAUUUUUUUUCCAAAUGUUGGCAACUAUGGCACUGUAUCAAGGGUAAUGUCAUCAUUAUUUUCCACCAGGGAUUAUUAAAAAAAACAAAACGCAUUGUGUCGGGGCUUAACAUGCGACAGGGGCGGGGUCAAACUGUGGCAAGUGUGGGGUUAAAUGUGCCCCCCUACUUUUGUCCCUGGCCCUCCAUGUGCCCUCCCUAAGAAUGAAUCCUAGAGACGCCACUGUUGCAAGCUGGUUUAGAUAUAACUCCAAUUAAAAAGUCCAUAAUUAAAUGCGUGCAAGUUUUCAUUUAUCUACUAAACAGUGAUUUUAAUUUAUUUUAUAUUUAGGCAAUAGGAGUGUCCCUUUAUGUUAGAUGUGGCAUUCAGAGAAUAAACAGCUAGUAUCAAGGAACCUGGUUUAAGGUACAUUAUACUAACAGCAACUUGUACCAUCGACAUUUAAAGUAAAGCAUGCAAAAAAUAAGGUUGUACAUAAUUUUACUGACUCUUUUCAGUGGUAGAAAUAAUACUGUACAAUUUGCACCAUAAAAUGUAACAUUUCUCUUAUUUUUUUUCAAUGUUGUUUGUUUUUAUUUGGGUACUUAUUUCUGGGCUUUUUUAUUUUUAAAAGAACACUCCAAGUACCAUAACCACAAAAGAGUGCUCUGCUGGAUGCUGUUCCCUGCUUUUACUACAUCCAACAGAUAACUGGAUGUUCCUGCAUAGGAGCUUCUGUUAGCACUCCUGAGCUAAACCCAACAAUACAGGGCCUACAGAGUUUUACUACUUACAGCUUGGGAACUCCUGGCAACAUAACCACUAGAGCACAUUUGUGUGGUUAUGGUGUAGUGGUUAUGUUAGUUGGAGUGUUUCUUUAUGUGCGCUGGCUAAGUGUAAUGUUGAUAUACAAUACAAACACAAUAGGUGGAGCAAAUAGUAUACUUUCCUCUCUUAUCAACGAAUUCAGCAAUGCUGUGGAGACAGAGAGGUAUACAAAUAGUGCAGAUAACUCUAAAUUACAAUGCAAAAAUAACAUAUGCAAGAAAACACUCACAAAAUUAGAGCCAAUAUUAAACCUGGCUCUGGUGUGGAUGGCCUUAGGAUUUUUUAAGGGUGAUCCAAAUCUCUCUGUGAAUGGUCUGGAUAUCCGGUCUGUAGUGUGGAAAAUUCCUCCCAGUAAUAAACUGCAGGGGAUCCAGAUAGGUAUAAAGUAAAAAGAUAUUUAUUGGAUACAGAUAAAAUAAAAAAUGUAAAUAAAAUCUAUGAGAUAAGUAAAAUGCUGCCAAAACCGUUUCGCCUAACGUUGCUUCCUCAGUUGGCUAAAUCCUUGUUUGUAAGUCCAUACAGUUCUUUAAAUGCUGUGUAUAAUCCAAAUUUGUGGUCUUUCAAGGGGAACGCAGCUUGCGUUCCAUUCCUCCGUCGGCGUUUCACUUCCUGGUUCCGGUCACAUGGAGCCUUAGCAUUACUGGAACCAGGGCCGUCUUUAACGCGGGGCAAACGGGGCAGCGGCCCCGGGCCCAGUUUCUCUUGGGGGGCCCGAGGCACCUGCCCCGUGGGCCCCGCUGCCCUCAUCAAUUAAUUUUUUUCCCGUCCCACCGGGUGGCCCAUGCACUUAGGGCAGUGACGUACAUACCAGGGUCACGGCUGCGACCCUGGUAUGUAGCCACAGGGCCAGCCUCUUCCCCUGGGGGGGCCCAGGAGGCGGCCACCCCAGGGCCCCCCGAGGCUGGCCCUGCUGACCCCGACCGGCCACCCGCCCAGGAGCCCAGCACCACCACUGGACCCCAGGGAAUAAUCCUCCCCAGCACUCCAAGAGGUAAGGAGGCUGGGGGGAUUACAUUUUUUUUUUUUUAAAUGUGUGUUUGUGUGUGUUAGUGUAUGUGUUUGUGUGCUAGUGUAUGUGUGUUUGUGUGUGUUAGUGUAUGUGUGUGUUUGUGUGUGUAUGUGUGUGUUAGUGUAUGUAUGUGUGUGUUAGUGUAUGUAUGUGUGUGUUUGUGUGUGUUAGUGUAUGUGUUUGUGUGUUAGUGUAUGUGUGUGUUUGUGUGCUAGUGUAUGUGUGUUUGUGUGUGUUAGUGUAUGUGUUUGUGUUAGUGUAUGUGUGUGUUUGUGUGUGUUUAUGUGUGUGUUAGUGUAUGUAUGUGUGUGUUUGUGUGUGUUAGUGUAUGUGUUUGUGUGUUUAUGUGUGUUAGUGUGUGUUAGUGUGUGUGUUUGUGUGUGUUAGUGUGUGUGUUUGUGUGUUAGUGUAUGUGUGUGUUUGUGUGUUAGUGUAUGUGUGUGUUAGUGUAUGUGUGUGUUAGUGUAUGUGUGUGUGUGUGUCAGUAUGUCUGUGUGUGUGUCAGUAUAUAUGUGUGUGUAUAUCUGUGUGUGUCAGUAUGUGUAUGUGUCAGUAUGUCUGUCAGUGCGUCAGUAUGUCUGUUAGUGCAUGUGUAUGCGUGUGUCAGUAUAUCUGUCUGUGUGCCAGUAUGUCUGUGUGUGUGUGUCAGUAUGUCAGUCUGUGUGUGUCAGUGUAUGUGCCUGUGUGUGUGUGUCAGUAUUUCUCAGUGUGUGGGUGUCAGUAUUUCUGUCAGUGUAUGUGUGUCAGUAUGUUGAUCAGUGUAUGUGUCUGUGUGUGUGUGUGUGUCACUAUGUCGGUAUAGGUGUCUGUGUGUCAGUAUGUCUGUAUAUGUGCCUGUGUCAGUAUGUCUGUCAGUACGUCUACCAGUGUAUGUGUCUGUGUGUGUGUCAGUGUAGUGUGCCUGUUUAUCUGUAUGUAGUCAGUGUAUGUAUCUGUGUAUCUGCUUGUGCGUCAGAGUGUGUACCUGUGCAUCUGAGCCGCAACUUUAAAUACAAAUACACCCCUCCAUUCAAACUUCAACACUACAUAUAAAACACACUCCUGCAUUGAAACGUCAACACUACAUACAAGCACACUCCUACAUUCAAAAACAAACACUACACAUAAAUGCACACUUGCAUUCAAACUCCAGUACCACAUACAAACACAUUCACACAAACAUACUCCAUACAAACACAUGCUUACAUUCAAACAUACUAACAUGGCUCAGUGCUAAAUACAACCCUGCAAGCAUGGGAAAUUGGUAGAGUCCCAGCUGUCAAAGCAUUGUUGGAGUUGCACGACAGAUGGGGUUCUACCUUUAGUCCAACCUUGCAAUUGGGGGUCCCAAUAAAAUUAAUUCUACUUUAGUACCGCCACUGCGUUGGGAUGGAUGCCGUGAUUGCAUACCAGGGAGUGAGGGGCGAGAGCGGCAGGGCCCAGGGGGCCCAAGCAAACACUUGCCCAGGGUCCAUUCGUUAUUAAAGACGGCCCUGACUGGAACGCAUAACACUUCCUGGUUUCGAUCUCCUGCAUCGUGCGUUCCAUUAGAGUGACGGCCCACCUCCAAUUUCAUCAUCUGUGCACUCUGUGUGUGUGGAACGCACUUUGCGUUCCACCAAAUUUGGAAUCCUUGGUCAGUCUCUUAGUUAAUGUAAUAAAAACAGUCUCUAUAAACACUAUACUCCUAUAUAUUAUGUAGUCCAACAAAAUAAUACAUAUUCUUGACAUGAAGUAUACAUUGAUAUUAGCUGAUAUAAUUGGAGAGAUAGAUAAAUGAAAGAUAAAUUGAUUAUAUCAAUAAAACCAUCAUUUUACAUCUUGCAAUAACACUAUAGCUACAUAAUAUAGUUCUUUAUAUAUAAUUGCAAAGUUCUUUUAUCCUUGAGUGCAAAUUUUUAAAGUGACAGUGCAAACUUAAUUUAAAUAUUUCUAAGUUGUGUGCUAUUUAGUAGUGAAUCCAUUUCUAUAGUUUUAUGUGGACUCCCAAUAUCAUCCCACUUCACACAAAAUUCUAAAAGUGAGGUAGUAAACCCAGACAGAUAUUAUUUAAAGUGACACGUUGCCUUAUUCGAUAUUCUUAUUAAAUAGUAUAGCAGCACCUUUUUAUAAAUACAGAGAGGGAGGGGAGGGGAUUUGAGAGAAUAUAUAAAUAAGAAUAAAUAACAAGGGGUUAAAACGACUAUAAAAAUAUAAAUAUUAAUAUAAAAAAUGACACAACUCAAAAUCUUGAUUAAGAUCAUGUGGGAUCAAUGUUCUAAAAUUGAAGGGGAUCCAGAUAGGAGGAAGAGGAGGAGGAAGAGGGGUAAUUUCCACGGUUAUCAGGCCAGUCAUUUACAAGUGGCUCAGAGGGUGGGUUCCUGCACCAGCAUAGGCCAGGUACACAAUUGUCCAGCAUCUCCACACUGUCCCAUGGAAGCGUUUAGCUGUCCAUCUCCCAAACACUGGAGAGAAAGAGGAAGUACCCCCCUAGCCACCCGCGAUCCCUGGCCCUGAAUGCUGGUGUCCGCUCAACUCUACUUGUGAUAUGAUUUUAUCAUCCAUUUCAGUAGAUAAAAUAUAAUGCAUUUAAAAAUAUAUGUACAAAUACAUAUGUGUGUAUAUAUAUAUAUUUUUAUUUAUUUUUUUUUUUUUAUAUAUAAAAUAUAAUAAUAUCUGUAGUUUUUUUUCCUUUUUUUUGCAGAUUUGCCAAUUACUCUGAACUAUUUUCUGGAUUUGCGUAAGCUGGAAUAGCUCAGUCAAUCCCUGGCUUUCCAUUU